Olea europaea var. sylvestris is the source of this 469-nucleotide long non-coding RNA. RefSeq lists it as uncharacterized. Lineage: Eukaryota; Viridiplantae; Streptophyta; Magnoliopsida; Lamiales; Oleaceae. The record is from RefSeq and is a predicted model, not a curated record. The transcript has 2 exons.
AAGAAAAAAGGUGAGGUUAAUCUCUUCAAGUUGGGUUUAAUUUUUCCACUUGUUUUUGAGUGAUUAAGUAUGAUUUAUAUUAAAUUUUUAGGGUUGUAACUUGUAGAAUAAAAUGUCGAAUUUUAGGUGAUAUCUGUACGAAUUGGAGCUCAAGUUUGGGGAUUUCUUCAUUUCCAAUUUCAGCUAGGAGACCGUCGAUUUUGAGAUACUGGGAAAAGCCUGCUGAAGCAGAAGAUACCGUUUCAUAGUAUGUAAUGUAUAGUUGGGGAACUCAUGUUUAUUAAGUACUUGUCUAAUAUUUGGUGUGUCAUGCACUUUGUAGAAAGGUUGGUAAUUGAUGUAAUGAUUGCAUGUUGACAUGAUGAUAUUGUAGAAGCACUCAAUCGAAUUUUGUUAUAUUUUGUUGUAGAAGUGGUGGUUUCCAAAACUUUUGGUUUAAAUGUCUAUUUGAGGUUUUGAUGAUUUUUCA